This 392-nucleotide unclassified non-coding RNA is filed under the name soil metagenome. Its description in RNAcentral is "partial contains 5.8S ribosomal RNA, internal transcribed spacer 2, and large subunit ribosomal RNA". The stretch from base 1 to 122 matches the Rfam family "5.8S ribosomal RNA", at positions 35 to 154 of the family's 154-position model. The record is from RNAcentral.
GAUGAAGAACGUAGCGAAAUGCGAUACUUGGUGUGAAUUGCAGAAUCCCGUGAACCAUCGAGUCUUUGAACGCAAGUUGCGCCCGAAGCCAUUAGGCCGAGGGCACGCCUGCCUGGGUGUCACACGUCGUUGCCCCCCCAUCUACUCCUUCGGGAUUGCGGGGGGCGGAUGAUGGCCUCCCGUGCGCCUCGUCGCGCGGUUGGCAUAAAUGCCAAGUCCUCGGCGACGCACGCCACGACAAUCGGUGGUUGCGAAACCUCGGUUGCCCGUCGUGUGCGGUCGUCGCGCAUCGAGGGCUCGAAAAAAUUGCCGGGCUCCGGCUCGGCUUUCAACGCGACCCCAGGUCAGGCGGGGUUACCCGCUGAAUUUAAGCAUAUCAAUAAGCGGAGGGA